RNAcentral lists this ribosomal RNA (383 nucleotides) under uncultured eukaryote. Its description in RNAcentral is "partial 18S ribosomal RNA". It matches the Rfam family "Eukaryotic small subunit ribosomal RNA", at positions 592 to 976 of the family's 1831-position model. The record is from RNAcentral.
CAAUAGCGUAUAUUAAAGUUGUUGCAGUUAAAAAGCUCGUAGUUGGAUUUCUGGUAGGAGUGACCGUUCCGAACUUGAUUGUUCGUGUAUUGUGCUUUCUCCAGCCAUCCUUGUGGAGAACUUUUCUUGCAUUAAUUUGUAGGGAUUGGGACCCGCAUCGUUUACUGUGAAAAAAUUAGAGUGUUUAAAGCAGGCAAUCGCUUGAAUACAUUAGCAUGGAAUAAUAAGAUAGGACUUUGGUACUAUUUUGUUGGUUUGCAUACCAAAUUAAUGAUCAACAGGAACAGUUUGAGGAUAUUCGUAUGAACAUGUCAGAGGUGAAAUUCUUGGAUUUUGAUCAGACGAACUACUGCGAAAGCAUUUAUCAAGGAUGUUUUCAUUAA